Molecule: ribosomal RNA, 253 nt
Filed under: uncultured bacterium
Lineage: Bacteria
Description: partial 16S ribosomal RNA
Rfam family: Bacterial small subunit ribosomal RNA
Source: RNAcentral
UACGGAGGGGGCGAGCGUUAUUCGGAAUUAUUGGGCGUAAAGGGCGCGUAGGCGGCUUGAUGUGUCAAAAGUGAAAUCCCUCAGCUUAACUGGGGAACUGCGUCUGAUACUGGAUGGCUUGAGUUUGGGAGAGGGAUGCGGAAUUCCAGGUGUAGCGGUGAAAUGCGUAGAUAUCUGGAGGAACACCGGUGGCGAAGGCGGCAUCCUGGACCAACACUGACACUGAGGAGCGAAAGCCAGGGGAGCAAACGGG